Molecule: ribosomal RNA, 704 nt
Filed under: uncultured bacterium
Lineage: Bacteria
Description: bacterial SSU rRNA
Rfam family: Bacterial small subunit ribosomal RNA
Source: RNAcentral
GCGAUAGGCUUAACACAUGCAAGUCGAGGGGCAGCAAGUCUUCGGAUGUUGGCGACCGGCGCACGGGUGAGUAACACGUAUGCAACCUACCCAUUACUUGGGGAUAGCCCGCUGAAAGGCGGAUUAAUACCCGAUGACACAGGGAUGCCGCAUGGCAAUAUUUGUUAAAGAUUCAUUGGUAAUGGAUGGGCCUGCGUUGGAUUAGUUAGUUGGUAAGGUAACGGCUUACCAAGGCGUCGAUCCAUAGGGGAACUGAGGGGUUUAUCCCCCACACUGGUACUGAGACACGGACCAGACUCCUACGGGAGGCAGCAGUGAGGAAUAUUGGUCAAUGGGCGCGAGCCUGAACCAGCCAAAUCGCGUGAAGGAUGACGGUAUUAUGUAUUGUAAACUUCUUUUGUAAGGGAAUAAAGUGAAGGACGUGUCCUUUUUUGUAUGUACCUUACGAAUAAGCAUCGGCUAACUCCGUGCCAGCAGCCGCGGUAAUACGGAGGAUGCGAGCGUUAUCCGGAUUUAUUGGGUUUAAAGGGUGCGUAGGUGGGCCGGUCAGUCAGUGGUGAAAUCUCGGAGCUUAACUUCGAAACUGCCAUUGAAACUUCCGGUCUUGAGUGUGAACGAGGUAGGCGGAAUUCGUAGUGUAGCGGUGAAAUGCAUAGAUAUACGAAGAACUCCGAUAGCGUAGGCUGCUUACCAGGCUACAACUG